Amphimedon queenslandica is the source of this 1243-nucleotide long non-coding RNA. RefSeq lists it as uncharacterized. The record is from RefSeq and is a predicted model, not a curated record. The transcript has 4 exons. Lineage: Eukaryota; Metazoa; Porifera; Demospongiae; Haplosclerida; Niphatidae.
GGAGCUUCGGAUUUGAAAGACUUUUCUGUCUGACGUGCAGUAGGUAGAGUCUUUUGUUGUUGAACUGAUGUCUUAUUUGCUGUAGCAGUGAGUGGAAUAAAAGGAGGAGGACCUGUUCCAGAUGACUGUACUCUUUGGAAGUUUUCUGAUGUCUAUCAAAAUGUAGAUAUACAUGUAAAAUUGGCUUAAAACCAUUAUUAAUGAAGUUUAUUUCAGUCAAAGCACUCAAUUAUUUUUGCCCGUAGUAGGGCUUAAGUUAGCUUGAAACUUAAGUCCCAACAUAACUAGGUACAUACAUGUACAUGUAGAACUAUAAAAGCUUAGUUUAGGAAAGAAGGAAGAUGUGCUUCUAUCACAUUAUGCUUACCAAGUUCACUAAUAGAUAAUAUUUAAAAAAUAAACAAUAGACAUAAAAAUAAACAAGAGAAGCAUAGUUGUGGAGGAGGUUUUUAUGGAAGACACUGUCACAAGCUUUUUGAUGUCAACAGAAUGCUAAAAUGUUGAAAUCUUGUGUAAGUUGAUGACUUCAUUAAAAAUAAUUUAAAUAAUUAUCAAUUAAAACUGGUAAAAUUAUAAAAUUAAUAUUGAAUUGAUGAUGUCAUCUUCCGGUAAGAAAUCAAAACUCUGGUAGCCCUCACGCAGCCAAACAGUAUGGAGAACACUGCACUGGUUUCUUUUCCUCCAAGUGACUGUGUAGUUAAUGAUGAAGAAGAAAUCCAAAGCGAGAAUGAUAGUCAUUCAUCCAAUAGCAGGGAGCCUCUUAUCAGGGAGCCUCUCGUUCCAGACCCUCUUGUCGUUCCUCAGCCUCUUGUCACUACUCAGCCUCAGCUCACGCGUGACUUUCAUUUCAUUUAUCGUCGUAAUCAAACUCGCUACGCGAGACUAAUCAAACUCCAAGUGACAACUUUUUUAUGCUAACUAUUAUUCAACUCUUUUGCUGUUCUCUAAUUGGAUGCUUGGCCCUCUUUUGUAUUAUUCCAGCUCUGUGCUUUGUUAUCAAAGCAAGGAAGGCUGAAAUGGAUGGUGACAUCAUUACAAUGUAUUCAAGGCGACAGCUUGCCCUCAUUUUUAAUUUUAUUGGCUUCUUUGUUGGCAUCAUAAAUAUCUUUAUAAAUAUUUAUUUCAUUCUAAAUAUUAUAGCACUUACUUACUAACAUAAACUAGUGCUUUAUGUCACACUAAACUGAUGGUAAUGCUGUCAAAUUUUGUUAUUAUUAGUUAAUAAAUAUUUAUACAUUACAAA